AUUUUGCAGGGAUGAUGAAUCAAUUAGAUGUGUGAUGGAAAAAAAAAAUUCCACAUGAACGCAACUAUUGAGGCAUAUUUAUGCUGACCUGUCAUAU
Dendrobium catenatum is the source of this 97-nucleotide small nucleolar RNA. RefSeq annotates it as small nucleolar RNA Z266. The transcript has a single exon. Lineage: Eukaryota; Viridiplantae; Streptophyta; Magnoliopsida; Asparagales; Orchidaceae. The record is from RefSeq and is a predicted model, not a curated record.